Molecule: ribosomal RNA, 466 nt
Filed under: uncultured bacterium
Lineage: Bacteria
Description: partial 16S ribosomal RNA
Rfam family: Bacterial small subunit ribosomal RNA
Source: RNAcentral
GAUGAACGCUGGCGGCGUGCUUAACACAUGCAAGUCGAACGGAAAGGCCCAAGCUUGCUUGGGUACUCGAGUGGCGAACGGGUGAGUAACACGUGGGUGAUCUGCCCUGCACUUCGGGAUAAGCCUGGGAAACUGGGUCUAAUACCGGAAAGGACCACAUUUUGGAUGGUGUGGUGGAAAGUUUUUCGGUGUGGGAUGAGCUCGCGGCCUAUCAGCUUGUUGGUGGGGUAAUGGCCUACCAAGGCGUCGACGGGUAGCCGGCCUGAGAGGGUGUACGGCCACAUUGGGACUGAGAUACGGCCCAGACUCCUACGGGAGGCAGCAGUGGGGAAUAUUGCACAAUGGGCGCAAGCCUGAUGCAGCGACGCCGCGUGGGGGAUGACGGCCUUCGGGUUGUAAACUCCUUUCGCUAGGGACGAAGCGUUAUGUGACGGUACCUGGAGAAGAAGCACCGGCUAACUACGUG